Molecule: unclassified non-coding RNA, 267 nt
Filed under: Hevea brasiliensis (rubber tree)
Lineage: Eukaryota; Viridiplantae; Streptophyta; Magnoliopsida; Malpighiales; Euphorbiaceae
Source: RNAcentral
GUCAGCUGAAGUCUUUCCAAGUCAAGAAUCUGCUGUAGAAUAAGAGAAGUAUUCUCUCUCCGUUUACGCAAGCUUAACACCUUAGUGUAGUAACUAGUUGAUCCCACUUCUGAUUCAGGAGAAACAACGAGACCUGUGAAGUCGAGUUCAGAAGCUAAGGAAGAGCCCCCUGGUGAUGAGUGAGACCGUUUAAAUUUUUUUGAAAUGACCUUAACUCCAUUCGCUUUACCAUUCGAUGUUGAGAUGAACUGAUCUGGUGGAGUGGCA